Non-coding RNA from Bombyx mori (domestic silkworm), 84 nucleotides. Lineage: Eukaryota; Metazoa; Arthropoda; Insecta; Lepidoptera; Bombycidae. The record is from Rfam.
UUAACUCAAAUUUGUAUGGAGUUGGAACGUUUGCCUACGUUUGUCAUUAGGGACGCUGUUCCAACUGCACGCAAAUUUUAGUUA